This 296-nucleotide ribosomal RNA is filed under the name uncultured bacterium. RNAcentral describes it as "partial 16S ribosomal RNA". It matches the Rfam family "Bacterial small subunit ribosomal RNA", at positions 775 to 1067 of the family's 1533-position model. The record is from RNAcentral.
GGAUUAGAUACCCUGGUAGUCCACGCCCUAAACGAUGGAUACUAAGUGGGGGAGUACUAAGGACUUCCCUGCCGUAGGGAAACCGUUAAGUAUCCCGCCUGGGGAGUAUGGUCGCAAGGCUGAAACUCAAAGGAAUUGACGGGGGCUCACACAAGCGGUGGAGCAUGUUGCUUAAUUCGAUCAACGCGAAGAACCUUACCUGGGCUUGAACUGCUAAGGAUUAGCUUCCCGAAAAGGAAGUGACGCUUCGGUGGAACUUAGUAGAGGUGUUGCAUGGCUGUCGUCAGCUCGUGCUG